Molecule: long non-coding RNA, 2383 nt
Filed under: Zea mays
Lineage: Eukaryota; Viridiplantae; Streptophyta; Magnoliopsida; Poales; Poaceae
Description: long non-coding RNA (ZMAY_LNC000102)
Source: RNAcentral
UAUUACAUAGCGGAAGUCUUACAAAAAUAAAUGAUAGCAAUAAAGCGAACUAAAUAUUAUUCUUUGGCGCCAUCAAGCUGAUUGGGAGACGCCACCUAGAUAAGCUCGUACUCUUCGUUGUAAGGCUCCUCCUGGACCACUUGUUCUUCUCCUGUGGGGGGUAUAUAUCGCAAGGGUGAGCUCAUAAAAGAUCAUAGCUCAACAAGUUGUGGGGAAUAAUGUGCAUGAACUCACCAAAGGUGGGAGCUCAUGUGAACUGUAAGGCUGAUCAACAAAUGAGGGUUAAAGCUGAGCAUUGCUUUUAAUAAGUUGGUCAAGUUUUAUUAGCAAUUAUUAAAUGUAAGUAGAUACCAGACAAGAGUAAUAAUAGAUCAAAAUUAAUAAUAAACCACAAUGCGAUGCAAAUGACAUAUUGAAUUUAAUUCCAUAAAUUAAUCAUGCAAGGGUCUUGAGCUGCUCAUGACCGCGAGCACGACAAGUACCAGUUUUAUACUCUGCAGAGGUUGUACCCUGUACCCACAAGUCGUGUAUCCUGUCUAGCCUGGGUUUGCAAGGCCAUUAGACACUGCCGAGGUGAAUGGCUAGGGAUCCACUACGAGGCCUUUACAAAGUUCCACUAGCUUUAGAAAACCCGCUACAGUUUCUAGGAAGAGCAAUGCAGUAAUCCCCCGUCUGACAGCCAUCACAGCAAAAUCAACCCAAAAACCUCCCUACAUGCCUAAUCCCCUACCGUCCUUGCCCCUUUCGGGUAAGGUAGUCCUCCACUAGCUUUCCUAGUUAGUCAGUCAAGGGUGUUCCAUUCCACCCUUGUGGUGGCACGUGUUUCUCAAGUUAAGCUCGAUGUUCCAAUUAACAUAAUUGUCUUAUCAUGAACAGAAAUAGAACAAUAAUAAAGAAUGAUCAUGUGUAAUAGUUAUCUCAACACCCAAAACCAUAUAUAGCAAUAGCAAAGACUACCCAAAAGUUCAGGGGUAAACAAGGUGCAAAGAUAACCAGACUAGGGUGGCCUAUUGGGUCCCAUCAAAAUUAAGCCUAUGCAUGAUAAGAUGAUUAUAGAGAACAUUAUUGGGUAAAUAAAAGUGGUCAAGGGCACAACUUGCCUUCAAUGAGCUCCUGCUCAGCAACUUCUACCUGCUAAACACCUAGAUCCUCGGCCACUGACUCGUCUACUCGCCACAAUACAAACAAACAUGGUGCAAGGGAUAAAUUAACAUCACACCAAACAUGAAUACAGAAUACAUAAUAAUAAUCUACGCAUCGUAACGAUAUCGUAGGAACAAGAAUCACUAAAUUCGGAGUUACGAAUUUUAAGUUAUGAUUUUCCGAAGUCCUUAUGUGUUUGGUACAAAAAUAAUUAAGGGAUCAAUUUUAAUACAGGUUUCAUGCUAAAACAGAGACACUAUGCGAUAAACAAUAUUAAUACCAAAUUAUAGAAAUUGGAAUGGGUAAAAAGAAGUUAAAAUAAAUUUUCUAUAAUUUAAACAAGUUUCAGCAAUUAUUUUUACAUUAAAAAUCAUUUUCGAAAUGAAUUAUCUGGUUUUCCCACUUCUCUGGACUGCGCGCGCAAUUAAACCAAAGGCCAGGGUUUCUACGCAAGAAUUCCAAGACUCAUGAUCCCUCGGCAAUGGACCGCAGGUUAUUUUUAGUAAAUCACAGGGGCUUUUACGCAAUUGUACCGCGACGAAAGGGUAUUGGCCGCCCUGGGUCGUUCGAUCAAAGAUGAUCGAACCAGAUUAGAAGCGCGCACGUUAUACUCUCGCCAUUUCCCCCGAUCGCUAGAUCUCGCAUCAACGGUAGAGAGGCGGCCUCGCUCUAACCGGACCAGAACCGCACAUCACCGAUUCAACGCCUCCGAUCAAAUCUCGCGAAAGGGUAUCGUUACGAUCUAAUCUUAACUGUGCAAGGCGCAUUCGACAGCCAGGACAACAGCACCAAUACCCGCCAUGGCCGGGGCGGCGGUGAUGCACACCGAACGCGUGCACUAGGCUACUAUCACGCGAUUAACCGAAAGAUUAUGGAGCUCUGGGUUCGGCGAGUCUUCUUAGGGAAACAUACCGGGAUUUGGGGCGGUGACGAGUCCAAGCGACGAGGAACCACAGAUUCGGGUCCGAGCCCCACUCCGGCGAGAAAUUCAGCCAACCUCCCUGGCUUUCCCGGCCAUAAUCCGCCACAGUCACGCUCCACGUAACCCGGCGCGUCGCCAAGUCUCCUUGUCGAUCCCGAAACGACGGCGAAGGAGCGAGUCUACAGCGGUGGCGGCACAACCCGGUCCUGCUCACACCGGUGGCGUCUGGUGAGGAAUUGGGUCACGUCAACAGGAGGAGGGGUGGUUAGGGUUUGGGUGCCGCACUUUAUGGCCGCCCGAGAGGAGGGUCGGUGCGCG